This 582-nucleotide ribosomal RNA is filed under the name Chaetomium sp. RNAcentral describes it as "eukaryotic LSU rRNA". The stretch from base 220 to 373 matches the Rfam family "5.8S ribosomal RNA". The record is from RNAcentral. Lineage: Eukaryota; Fungi; Ascomycota; Sordariomycetes; Sordariales; Chaetomiaceae.
AAGUCCCGUAAACAAGGUCUCCGUUGGUGAACCAGCGGAGGGAUCAUUACAGAGUUGCAAAACUCCCAAACCAUUGUGAACGUUACCCAUCCCGUUGCUUCGGCGGGCGGCCCGGGCCCCGUGCCCGGCGCCCCCCGGCCCCUCGCGGGCGCCCGCCGGAGGUAAACCAAACUCUUGAAUUGUAUGGCCUCUCUGAGUCUUCUGUACUGAAUAAGUCAAAACUUUCAACAACGGAUCUCUUGGUUCUGGCAUCGAUGAAGAACGCAGCGAAAUGCGAUAAGUAAUGUGAAUUGCAGAAUUCAGUGAAUCAUCGAAUCUUUGAACGCACAUUGCGCCCGCCAGUAUUCUGGCGGGCAUGCCUGUUCGAGCGUCAUUUCAACCAUCAAGCCCCCGGCUUGUGUUGGGGACCUGCGGCUGCCGCAGGCCCUGAAAACCAGUGGCGGGCUCGCUAGUCACUCCGAGCGUAGUAGUUACAUCUCGCUCAGGGCGUGCUGCGGGUUCCGGCCGUUAAAAAGCCUUAUUUACCCCAAGGUUGACCUCGGAUCAGGUAGGAAGACCCGCUGAACUUAAGCAUAUCAAUAA